This 425-nucleotide ribosomal RNA is filed under the name uncultured Saprospiraceae bacterium. RNAcentral's name for it is "bacterial SSU rRNA". It matches the Rfam family "Bacterial small subunit ribosomal RNA", at positions 355 to 776 of the family's 1533-position model. The record is from RNAcentral. Lineage: Bacteria; Pseudomonadati; Bacteroidota; Saprospiria; Saprospirales; Saprospiraceae.
UAAGGAAUAUUGGUCAAUGGGCGAAAGCCUGAACCAGCCAUCCAGCGUGCAGGAAGAAGGCCCUAUGGGUUGUAAACUGCUUUUAUCAGGGAAGAAACCUCUGGAUUCACUCCGGAGCUGACGGUACCUGAAGAAUAAGCACCGGCUAACUCCGUGCCAGCAGCCGCGGUAAUACGGAGGGUGCGAGCGUUAUCCGGAAUUACUGGGUUUAAAGGGUGCGUAGGCGGCUUUGUAAGUCAGGAGUGAAAGUUUGCGGCUCAACCGUAAAAUUGCUUUUGAUACUGCAGAGCUAGAAUCAGGAUGAGGUUAGCGGAAUGUGGCAUGUAGCGGUGAAAUGCAUAGAUAUGCCAUAGAACACCAAUUGCGAAGGCAGCUGGCUAGACCUGCAUUGACGCUGAGGCACGAAAGCGUGGGGAGCGAACAGG